This 474-nucleotide ribosomal RNA is filed under the name uncultured bacterium. RNAcentral's name for it is "bacterial SSU rRNA". It matches the Rfam family "Bacterial small subunit ribosomal RNA", at positions 326 to 793 of the family's 1533-position model. The record is from RNAcentral.
ACGCUAUCACUCCUACGGGAGGCAGCAGUGGGAAUAUUGCACAAUGGGGGGAAACCUGAUGCAGCCAUGCCGCGUGUGUGAAAGAAGGCCUUCGGGGUUGUAAAAGCACUUUCAGUAGGGAGGAAGGUAGUGUAGUUAACACCUGCAUUAUUUGACGUUACCUACAGAAGAAGCACCGGCUAACUCCGUGCCAGCAGCCGCGGUAAUACGGAGGGUGCGAGCGUUAAUCGGAAUUACUGGGCGUAAAGCGCAUGCAGGCGGCCUGUUAAGUCAGAUGUGAAAGCCCGGGGCUUAACCUCGGAAUUGCAUUUGAAACUGGCAGGCUAGAGUCUUGUAGAGGGGGUAGAAUUUCAGGUGUAGCGGUGAAAUGCGUAGAGAUCUGAAGGAAUACCAGUGGCGAAGGCGGCCCCUGGACAAAGACUGACGCUCAGAUGCGAAAGCGUGGGGAGCAAACAGGAUUAGAUACCCUGGUAG